RNAcentral lists this small RNA (494 nucleotides) under Pongo abelii (Sumatran orangutan). RNAcentral's name for it is "retained intron". Lineage: Eukaryota; Metazoa; Chordata; Mammalia; Primates; Hominidae. The record is from RNAcentral.
CCCAGUGCUGACCCCUUGUUAAGAAACAGCUUCUCACUAAAUGAUCUGUCUUCCAGCUCUACAAUGGCAAGAAUCUGGGACUUACUGUUUAUACUGUUUACUUUUGCAGUUAGCAUGUAAAUACUGGGCUCCCCACAUCAAGAAGAAAUCACCUUUUGAUAUAAAGGUUAUUGAAGAUAUAUAUGAAAAAGAGAUUGUCAAAUCAAGGUUUGCUAUUAGAAAGAUAAUGCUCUUGGAAUUUAGCCAGUAUCUUGAAAAUUAUCUCUGGAUGAAUUAUUCUCCUGAGGUAUCCAGCAAGGCCUAUUUAAUGUCAAUCUGCUGUAUGGUGAAUGAGAAGUUUAGAGAAAAUGUGCCUGCAUGGGAGGUAACUGAUUUAAAUUACUUCAUAGCUUUCAUGCUGACCCACAUAAGCCAUUACAAAGUGGCAGAACUUUUACUGAUAGUGGUGCUUUUAGAGCAGAACUUUACCCAGUAAUAAAGCAAAUAUUGAGAAA